Molecule: long non-coding RNA, 1589 nt
Filed under: Rattus norvegicus (Norway rat)
Lineage: Eukaryota; Metazoa; Chordata; Mammalia; Rodentia; Muridae
Description: long non-coding RNA NONRATT011412
Source: RNAcentral
GCUGGACCGCUUCGAGAAAACCAACGAGAUGCUUCUGAACUUCAACAAUCUGUCCAGCGUGCGGCUGCAGCAGAUGAGCGAGCGCUUCAUGCACCACACCCGCACCUUGGUGGACAUGAAACGGGACCUGGACAGCAUCUUCCGCAGGAUCAGCAUGGUCCUUCAGGUGUACUCCACAGCCUCACCCACCACUGUGGCAGACACACCAGCAGCCAGCUGCCCAGACCAGAACAGCCAAGACCACGGGAUCCAGAUCACACGUGUGCCCUAUCCUCUAGCCCAAGGCUGUGUGGCCUGGGGACCUAAGGGAACAAAGUAAACUCUACCCAGAAGUCUUGAGAUGCUCUAUACCAGUCUAUUUAAUGUUUUUAUUGGUGCUGUUUUGCUUUGUUUUUGAGGCAAGGUCUCAAUUGCUGUCCUGAAACUCACAAAGAUCCACCUGCCUCUGCCUCCCUGGUACCAAGGUGCUCUGCUGCCCUUGUCUGCUAGUUUUUCUAGCCCCGAAUGCCAGGCUGACUCGACAUGUAGUUUGGGGAAUAGGUAGCUCUUUGAGCCCCAAGAGUAAAUACAGCAGCAUGUGUCCUAGAUCCCCAGAAAGGAGACAAGAGUCCAGUGUGUCAAGUGCUGAGCCUCACAAGUGCUGAGUCAUUGUGUGACUGCCACACUGGCUGCUGUCAGUGUAUGGGCUGACUCUCUGAAGACCCUUCUUUAGCCCGUCAGGCCUGGAGUGCAGGACUUCAGGGCAGAGCAACCAGAAGCCAGUUCAUAAGGACACUGAAGGGGAAGCUGGCCCGGCAGCACCCAGAGGCCUUCAGCCACAUCCCAGAGGGUUCACUCCUAGAGGACGAAGAUGAAGACCCUGUUCCACCCAGUAUCACCACAACCAUCGCCACCUCAGAGCAGAGCACAGGGUCCUGUGACACCAGCCCUGACACUGCCUCUCCAUCCUUCAGUCCUGGCUUUGAGGACCUAUCACACAUUCGACCUGGCUCUCCUGCCAUCAAUGGCCACAGCCAAACAGAUGAUGAGGAAGAAACACGUGAAGAAUAACCUCUCUCCCAACCUCCCAGAAAGGCCCAGGGCAGCAGUGGUUCUCCUAGGGUCACAGUCAGUCAGCUUUGCUGCUCCUUUCUUUUGUAGGCAGGGUUCCUAAUUCCUGCCACUCCCCGUAAGAGCAGGACUUCCUAUGCCAGCAUGUAUGUCUAGCUGGGGCAGUGGGGCUGGGUAGAGGUAACCUUGAAAUCAGCCUGGGCCAGCUUUGAACAGUGCUUCUAAGGUCUCCAGAGACCAAAGCCAGAUUGUCAUCCCCCACACCCUGGGUGGGCACAGGAGGGCUGAGCUUGUUCCUACCCACUGGCAGCUGCUGAUUCAACUAUGUCUCCUUUCCCUCUGUGGAGUACUUUUUUCCUGUUGUGUUGAAUUCUGGAGGAAGAGGCAGCCUUGACUGUGAGGAGCUGUGUUUCUCCAAGGUCCAUCAGGUUAUCUCCAGGAGCUGGCCAGUCACCUUAGAAAACAGCUGAAUGGAAUAUUUUUAUACCUGAUGUUUACAGAUGUUGGGAAGUUAUCAAUAAAGACUGUUGUUAAAAGGG